GUCUUAUUGAAUAAUAAUUUUAAGUCAAAUCUGCUCAAUGAAUAACUUAAAUAGCUGCAGUAUUUAUAACUGUACAAAGGUAGCAUAAUAAUUAGAUUUUUAAUUAAAAUCUAGAAUGAAUGAUUUAAUGAAAUAUAAACUGUCUCUAAUAAAAAAAUUAAAAUUAUUAUUUAAGUAAAAAAACUUAAAUAAAAUUAAUAGACGAGAAGACCCUAUAGAAUUUAAUAUUUAAUUUAAAAUAUUUAUUUAAUUAAAAAAAUAUAAAAAAUUAAAUAUUUAAUUGGGGCAAUUUUAAAAUUCAAAAAACUUUUUUUAUUAAUAUACAUUAAUUUAUGAACUAAUAAUCCAAUUCUAUUGAUUAAAAAAAUUAAUUACCUUAGGGAUAACAGCAUAAUUUUUUUUAAUAGACCAUAUAUAAAAAAAAGAUUAUGACCUCGAUGUUGAAUUAAGAUAAAAUUAAAACGAAAAAAUUUUAAAAUUUAAGUCUGUUCGACUUUUAAAAUCUUACAU
RNAcentral lists this ribosomal RNA (510 nucleotides) under Microctonus aethiopoides. RNAcentral describes it as "partial 16S large subunit ribosomal RNA". Lineage: Eukaryota; Metazoa; Arthropoda; Insecta; Hymenoptera; Braconidae. The record is from RNAcentral.